GAUGAACGCUGGCGGCGUGCCUAAUACAUGCCAGUCGAGCGAACAGACGAGGAGCUUGCUCCUCUGACGUUAGCGGCGGACGGGUGAGUAACACGUGGAUAACCUACCUAUAAGACUGGGAUAACUUCGGGAAACCGGAGCUAAUACCGGAUAACAUGUUGAACCGCAUGGUUCAACAGUGAAAGACGGUUUUGCUGUCACUUCUAGAUGGAUCCGCGCCGCAUUAGCUAGUUGGUAAGGUAACGGCUUACCAAGGCAACGAUGCGUAGCCGACCUGAGAGGGUGAUCGGCCACACUGGAACUGAGACACGGUCCAGACUCCUACGGGAGGCAGCAGUAGGGAAUCUUCCGCAAUGGGCGAAAGCCUGACGGAGCAACGCCGCGUGAGUGAAGAAGGUCUUCGGAUCGUAAAACUCUGUUAUUAGGGAAGAACAAAUGUGUAAGUAACUAUGCACGUCUUGACGGUACCUAAUCAGAAAGCCACGGCUAACUACGUG
RNAcentral lists this ribosomal RNA (497 nucleotides) under uncultured bacterium. Its description in RNAcentral is "partial 16S ribosomal RNA". It matches the Rfam family "Bacterial small subunit ribosomal RNA", at positions 28 to 507 of the family's 1533-position model. The record is from RNAcentral.